GCCUUAUCAAGAGUGAUGGAGGGGAAGGGCCCGAUGAAAUCCGGCAACCAUAGAGUGUAUGGUGCUAAGUCCCUCAGAAUUUUGGUUCUGAAAGAUGAGGA
This 101-nucleotide non-coding RNA is filed under the name Alkaliphilus metalliredigens. RNAcentral's name for it is "SAM-I sequence". It matches the Rfam family "SAM riboswitch aptamer (S box leader)". Rfam says of the family: The SAM riboswitch is found upstream of a number of genes which code for proteins involved in methionine or cysteine biosynthesis in Gram-positive bacteria. The SAM riboswitch acts at the level of transcription termination control. RNAcentral also lists the same sequence under 1 other name. The record is from RNAcentral. Lineage: Bacteria; Bacillati; Bacillota; Clostridia; Peptostreptococcales; Natronincolaceae.